This is a long non-coding RNA of Beta vulgaris subsp. vulgaris (sugar beet), 1616 nucleotides long. RefSeq lists it as uncharacterized. The record is from RefSeq and is a predicted model, not a curated record. The transcript is spliced from 9 exons. Lineage: Eukaryota; Viridiplantae; Streptophyta; Magnoliopsida; Caryophyllales; Amaranthaceae.
CUAUUCCUAAGCCUUGGCAAAUCUUAGCCCUCCAUCUUUCCUUCCAUCUCAACCGCACAUUCCUUCCUUUCUCUCCUCUUCUUCACGUUUCUUCUUCACGCCUCUCCUGACUCUCCUCUCUCCUCUCUCCUCUCUUUUGUUGUCUCUCUAUCCUCUUUCUCUGUUUUUUUUUGCCAUUGCGAUGGAGUUAUGGAGCGCCAUUAAAGGUGAUUCUCUACUAAUUAAAAAAUUAUAGAUUUUAGGGUUUGUUCUUAGGAAUUUCAGCUUUUCUCUCAAGAACACAAUUCAAUUUCAUCGGCACUUCGCAUCAAAUUGCCUUUACGGGAUAAUCGAGCUCUUUCGACGAGAUUUGGAACUCGAAUUUCGCAAAAAUUGAAAGGAAGGAAAUGCGAAUUAGAGGAGAGACAAAUUUAACCGAUCGAGUUUUGCUGAAAUGGGGUUUGAAGGUGAAGAUCAGCUUCACUCAAUUACUACAAGUUCUGUGAAACUCAAGCUUCCUAGAAAGUAUAUCCAUCCAGACAACAUGUUUGCUGAGGGAAAUUCAAACCUUGAGCUGAAAAGAAUUCGGGAUGAAUUCAAAAUGCACGAGUCAGAUUGUGGUUCAACAUGUGCUCAAAUGAUGUAGUGACCAGUCUACACAUUUUGGAGGACUGACUCUGGAAGGCAGUUAAAUUCAAUGAUGAUUUCUCAUAGAUAUGCUGAUUUCUCAUAGAUACUCUGGAUUGUAAGCCCAAGUAUGACUGCACCACUUUGGAAUUUUGAGAACAAGAAGGAAGAAGGAGUAUUUAGGGUUUCGUCGGGCCAAGGAUGAUGAUUGUAGACUGUCGAGGAAGCACUUGUCGACUGGUCUUAUGGAUAUUUACAGAUCUAAGUCACCUUAGCUUUUUGUUGGCAAGGAAUAUCCUUGACUCUCAUCAACCAGAUUUAAUCAGUUUACAAGGCAACACCUGAUCAGUCGUUUGUCUAGGAAAAAAUGUUUGCUUCGCGAUGUUUAUGGAUGAAAAGACUUUAAACUAUUUCUCCAGAAGGCCAUAUACCGGACAGAAUGGGAUUCAUUUGUCAGUGGAAGGUCGUCCUGGUGAAAAAUCUUCCUUAUAUGGACAUGAGGAGAGGGAAAAUUCCAAAGCUGUUGUGUCAUAGACUUUUCCCUUCAGCAAGGUAUUCAAUUUGGUUGGAUAGCAAGUUGGACUCCAACGUGAUCCUCUGUUGUUAUUGGAGCACUUCUUAUGGAGAAAGUCAUUGUGUCUGGGAGGAGAUGGAUCGGAAUAAGAAGCUUAACAAAUACAACCAUACCGUUUUUCUUCAAGGCAAUGCAUCGCAGUGAGAGACCAUGUCAUUUUUCUUCUCUUAUUUAGCUAGCUUAUUCUGACAGCUUUACGCUAUCUUACAUCUGCUAAAUGAUCUUGUAGUUCAAUUGUAUGCUAGAACCGGUGAUCAGAAUAGUUGACUGCCACAAACGUUUACAGUAUAUGAAUUUGAUGCCAAUGUGAAGGGUGCCAUUGUGCUUAAGGGUAGGAAUGGUCAUUGUUGUCAGAUAUUCUACUUUUCAACUGUUUGCCCUCAUGAGAUAUACGAAUCUCACUUUUUAUAUAGCCUUAUACUGGCUUUUAGCAAGA